Molecule: ribosomal RNA, 514 nt
Filed under: uncultured bacterium
Lineage: Bacteria
Description: partial 16S ribosomal RNA
Rfam family: Bacterial small subunit ribosomal RNA
Source: RNAcentral
GAUGAACGCUGGCGGCGUGCCUAAUACAUGCAAGUCGAGCGGACAGAUGAGAAGCUUGCUUCUCUGAUGUUAGCGGCGGACGGGUGAGUAACACGUGGGUAACCUACCUAUAAGACUGGGAUAACUCCGGGAAACCGGGGCUAAUACCGGAUAAUAUUUUGAACCGCAUGGUUCAAUAGUGAAAGACGGUUUCGGCUGUCACUUAUAGAUGGACCCGCGCCGUAUUAGCUAGUUGGUAAGGUAACGGCUUACCAAGGCGACGAUACGUAGCCGACCUGAGAGGGUGAUCGGACACACUGGAACUGAGACACGGUCCAGACUCCUACGGGAGGCAGCAGUAGGGAAUCUUCCGCAAUGGGCGAAAGCCUGACGGAGCAACGCCGCGUGAGUGAUGAAGGCCUUCGGGUCGUAAAACUCUGUUAUAAGAGAAGAACAAAUUGUAGAGUAACUGCUACAGUCUUGACGGUACCUAACCAGAAAGCCACGGCUAACUACGUGCCAGCAGCCGCCGCGG